RNAcentral lists this ribosomal RNA (463 nucleotides) under uncultured archaeon. RNAcentral describes it as "bacterial SSU rRNA". It matches the Rfam family "Archaeal small subunit ribosomal RNA", at positions 385 to 850 of the family's 1478-position model. The record is from RNAcentral.
UGGCUGGGGUAAGACCCAGUCUUUUCUUGACUCUUCAAAGGUCUUGGAAUAAGGGGUGGGUAAGGACGGUGCCAGCCGCCGCGGUAAUACCGGCGCCUCAAGUGGUAGUCGAUUUUAUUGGGCCUAAAACGUCCGUCGCCUGUUUGGUACAUUCGUGGGUAAAUCAACCAGCUCAACUGGUUGAAUUCUGCGAGCACGGCCAGACUUGGGACCGGGAGAGGUGUGGGGUACGUUCAGGGUAGGGGUAAAAUCCUGUCAUCCUAAACGGACCACCUGUUGCGAAGGCUCCACACUAGAACGGAUCCGACGGUCAGGGACGAAGCCUAGGGGCACGAACCGGAUUAGAUACCCGGGUAGUCCUAGGUGUAAACGCUGUGGACUUGGUGUUGGGGACUCUCCGAGAUUCCUCAGUGCCGAAGCGAAGGUGAUAAGUCCACUGCCUGGGGAGUACGGUCGCAAGGCU